GAUGAACGCUGGCGGCGUGCCUAAUACAUGCAAGUCGAGCGAACGGACGAGAAGCUUGCUUCUCUGAUGUUAGCGGCGGACGGGUGAGUAACACGUGGAUAACCUACCUAUAAGACUGGGAUAACUUCGGGAAACCGGAGCUAAUACCGGAUGAUAUUUUGAACCGCAUGGUUCAAAAGUGAAAGACGGUCUUGCUGUCACUUAUAGAUGGAUCCGCGCUGCAUUAGCUAGUUGGUAAGGUAACGGCUUACCAAGGCAACGAUGCAUAGCCGACCUGAGAGGGUGAUCGGCCACACUGGAACUGAGACACGGUCCAGACUCCUACGGGAGGCAGCAGUAGGGAAUCUUCCGCAAAGGGCGAAAGCCUGACGGAGCAACGCCGCGUGAGUGAUGAAGGUCUUCGGAUCGUAAAACUCUGUUAUUAGGGAAGAACAUAUGUGUAAGUAACUGUGCACAUCUUGACGGUACCUAAUCAGAAAGCCACGGCUAACUACGU
This 496-nucleotide ribosomal RNA is filed under the name uncultured bacterium. RNAcentral's name for it is "partial 16S ribosomal RNA". It matches the Rfam family "Bacterial small subunit ribosomal RNA", at positions 28 to 506 of the family's 1533-position model. The record is from RNAcentral.